Molecule: long non-coding RNA, 264 nt
Filed under: Bos mutus (wild yak)
Lineage: Eukaryota; Metazoa; Chordata; Mammalia; Artiodactyla; Bovidae
Description: lncRNA (ENSBMUG00000016198.1)
Source: RNAcentral
UGAUAAUCCUAUGUCACCAAGUCCCUCUUGCAACUAUUUGAAAAUAUUUUCGAAGAAUAUCACUGCCUGAUUGUUCUAGGGCACUCGCCUUUCCGGAAAUGCCCUCGCCCAGCGGGCAGCCUCCACAUCCCGAGGAGGUUCACAGAAAACCAGACAGAACAAAAUGGGCAAAGAGGACCGUCCUCACAGAGGCCUCGCUUCGGCAGGAAGGCAGACGGUCAGGUGAGUGAGCAAUGCCCUGAGGAGUGUCACACAGGGUGAGGG